RNAcentral lists this small nuclear RNA (159 nucleotides) under Carlito syrichta (Philippine tarsier). RNAcentral describes it as "U2 spliceosomal RNA (ENSTSYG00000023657.2)". The stretch from base 1 to 131 matches the Rfam family "U2 spliceosomal RNA". From Rfam's summary of the family: U2 is a small nuclear RNA (snRNA) component of the spliceosome (involved in pre-mRNA splicing). Complementary binding between U2 snRNA (in an area lying towards the 5' end but 3' to hairpin I) and the branchpoint sequence (BPS) of the intron results the bulging out of an unpaired adenosine, on the BPS, which initiates a nucleophilic attack at the intronic 5' splice site, thus starting the first of two transesterification reactions that mediate splicing. The record is from RNAcentral. Lineage: Eukaryota; Metazoa; Chordata; Mammalia; Primates; Tarsiidae.
AUCACUUCUUGGUCUUUUGGCUAAGAUCAAAUAUAGUAUCUGUUCUUAUCAGUUUAAUAUUUGAUCUGCUCUCUAUCCAAGGGCUGUGUAUUAAAUGGAUUUUUUUGGGGGGAAAGGUAGUAUGAUGCCUCCAGCUUUGUUCAUUUUUGCUCAGAAUUG